Trichobilharzia regenti is the source of this 45-nucleotide non-coding RNA. NCBI's taxonomy places the organism in Eukaryota, Metazoa, Platyhelminthes, Trematoda, Strigeidida, Schistosomatidae. The record is from Rfam.
AUCCAGAUGACGACUCCCAUACAGGACGAAAUGCGCAUCCUGGAU